CCCGGUAGAGGCAGGGCGGGACUGUUGUGGUUGAGAUGAAGGCUAGUAAAUGGUGAAGUACUUCCCGGCCAGAGGGCACCUGCGCUCGGGAGGUUUGGGCGGCUUGGCGUCGGAGGAGAGCCCCACCCGCGGAGGAACCCAGCCUUGCCAACGGAGCUGGCGGAGCUCACUCCUCAGGUCAGGCGGGCGGCGUAGAAAACGCAGCGGAGCCAGGUGAAACCAAGGCACCGCCGUGGCUGGCCCCCGACAGUUCCUCUAGCCGGGAGGUUGGAGGAGCUGAAAACGCCGCGGAGCCCUCGGCCGCCCGAGCAGGGGCUGGACCCCAGCCCUUGCAGCCUCCCUUCUCCUGGCACCCAAGUGCAGUCCUGGCUGCAGAAGGGGCCGCGGGCGCACUGAGUUUCCAACCUCCAUUUCAGCCUGUCUGUCUCAGGGUGCAGCCUUAAUGAGAGGUGAUUCCUAAGCUGCUGGGAACCUGAGGUUGUCAAAGGGGCGGCAGGAAAUGGACAGCAGUAUAAAACCCAGAAGCAGAACUUGAAGGUUAAACCACUAGCCCAUUUCACAGAAUGUUUCAUCCAUUUGUGGACCAAAAGAUGGAGUUGGUUUUUAUUUUUAAAAAGAUAAUGUUAAUGAUCUGAUACCACUACAAAUAUUUACGUGAGAAGAUUCAUGGACUUGUCUUUUGGUUGGACUGUCACUCAUUUCUGAAAGUUUCUUCAGCCACAAUUUCUAUUUGAAAAUUCAAGUAUCAAAGGAUACCAGGUUUAGAAUGGUAUAAUGAUGUAUUUUGUCUGAGGACUGCAAAUUUUAUAGAGACCACAGUUGGAUUCCAGUGAUAUUCUGCAAUCAAAGUGAUUUGAUAAACCUAAUUUUGAAGCAUUUUAUAUUUAUAAGCGACAUCAAAAGAUGGGAGAAAAAAAUGGCGAUGCAAAAACUUUCUGGAUGGAGCUAGAAGAUGAUGGAAAAGUGGACUUCAUUUUUGAACAAGUACAAAAUGUGCUGCAGUCACUGAAACAAAAGAUCAAAGAUGGGUCUGCCACCAAUAAAGAAUACAUCCAAGCAAUGAUUCUAGUGAAUGAAGCAACUAUAAUUAACAGUUCAACAUCAAUAAAGGGAGCAUCACAGAAAGAAGUGAAUGCCCAAAGCAGUGGUGAGAUUUGAGAGCACAUUAUACCACCCUAAUAGGUGAAAGGGAGGAGCAGAGGGGCACUUCUGGAAGAACACAUGACUUCAAAGAUAAAUGGGUCCUAUGAGAAUAAGUGAAAGAUUUGUAACAGUGUCUGUCUGAGUAUAGUACUGACUUCCUCUGCUCUCCCUGAUUAGAUGAAAUCAUUCCUGGUUGAUGAAACUUCUGGGAGGGGAUUUAUGACAAUUGAGUUUCUUUUUGGGAGGAUCGAUUUUUAGACAGAUAAGGGAACUCCAGAGACAACUUCUUCCUGUAUUUGUUCAUUCUCAGAUGUCUUCAAUUCAAAAUAAUCUUUAUGUUACUAUAUCUCAUCUGGACAAUCCUUAAGGGAUUAUAUUUAGUUUUGCAAGAGAGAGGCUUUUAACCUCACUUGUUACCAAGAAAAAUGGUAACAACUAAUUCUAAACAUUUCUUUUCUUUCUGAAGAACCUUUUUUUCCGUAAAAAGUAAGUUGGUUUUUGUUUGGGGUCUUUUAAGGAAAUAAUUUUAUCAAUAGAAAUGCCGAAUAUUAUAAUUUCAUAUUUUUAUGUAGUUGGUCCAUCUGAAAUGUAACAAAUGCAUCAAGAUAAGAGUAUAUUUAUUUGCUAGCAGUGAAGUGUUUUUAAGUAAACAGUUGGGGAGAGUUAUGUAACUGACACUGUUGGCAAAUGUAAGGAUUGAAAACCUUUGGUAAUAAAGGUUCAUGUGGGCUGAAUACAGUGGCUCAGGCCUGUAAUCCAAGCACUUUAGGAGGCUGAGGUGGGAGGAUCACCUGAGCCCAGGAGUUUGAGACCAACCUGGGCAACACAGUGAGACC
RNAcentral lists this long non-coding RNA (1979 nucleotides) under Homo sapiens (human). RNAcentral describes it as "long non-coding RNA NONHSAT165696.1". The record is from RNAcentral. Lineage: Eukaryota; Metazoa; Chordata; Mammalia; Primates; Hominidae.